RNAcentral lists this ribosomal RNA (173 nucleotides) under bacterium. RNAcentral describes it as "partial 23S ribosomal RNA". It matches the Rfam family "Bacterial large subunit ribosomal RNA", at positions 2748 to 2925 of the family's 2925-position model. The record is from RNAcentral.
GCUACGUAUGGACGGGAUAAGUGCUGAAAGCAUCUAAGCACGAAGCCUCGCCCAAGAUUAGACAUUGUCCGCAAGGACGCGGUUCGUAGAAGACUACAACGUUGAUAGGCUCUAAGUGUAAGGCCCGUAAGGGUUUCAGCUGAGGAGUACUAAUAAACCGUCGCGCCCUCAAA